CCGUUGUAUUUCUUCAAACAGUGCCAAUAUUAUGGCACGUGCCAAUGGGUGUGUUGGGUGAGGAAGGCAGUUUCCGUUGGUGUACAUCACAAAAGAAGCCUCCUUGUGUUUCCUAUUGCUCAGGGAGGAAGUUGUAAAUCAGAGAUAGUCCAAGGAGAAUAAAGAGAGAGCCAAGGGGUGGUUUGGGAGAGUUAUGCAGACCCUGAUAACAGUCUUUGCUUUGGCUGCCAAGUUUCAUCGUCGAUGAGACCUGGUGUCCUGAACUCAGUAUUCUGUGGCCUGAGAUAUCCAUAUAACAGUUGCUCGCUAAGGUCUCUUUUUACACCGUUGGCAACAACCCUCAGGCGAGUCUUCCACGCCCAGAAUCAUCGCACUGACUCAGGUCAGCUGGGUGUUGCGAGUUGACCGUGAGCUCGUCCAGCCCAGCUGGGAGGAAGCUCGGCGCUCAGGAGUCGGCGAUGCAUCUGCUCUGCCACGAGGCCGGGCAGAGGCCGGGCAGUUCCUCGGGGGCCGCGGUCUCCAGAAAAAACAGCACCAGAAUGUACGACGGGCACGACAAGUAACAAGCCGAGAUGCCGUCUCAGUGAUAGCUGACAGUGGUUUGAUGUGUGUGAUAUGUAACGACCUUCGCACAUGGAGAACGAGGCAGAGGGUGAUUCCCCAGGUUUUGCAGAGUCAGACUUCUCAUAUAAUCCGUGAAGUCCAAAUUCUACUGUCACCUCAGCCAGAAGAAGCACCAGCCCCAGAGCUGGUCAGAGGCACCCACACCCUCUGCUCCUCUUCGCAGCCCUCAGGUUUGUUUACUGUGAACCCUGGAAGAGACAGUGUGUGGGAAGGAAAGGAAACCGUCACCCUUAGCCAUCUCAGAUAACGGAACAGAGAGGGCGAGGCCCUCUGUUCUCUGGAUCGCCUCAAAGGGUGGCCUCAGAUCCAAACUGGAAAAGCUGCUUUGACUCAGCCCCUCUUCUCCUGUUGAGCUCAGUGAGGCAAUGCCACUUAAAACUAAUUUUUUUCCUGUCUCUGCCUGUGAAAGCACAUCUGCAGAAUUAAAUUCCAUACACCUACAAGGAUGCUUUCAAAGGCUCGGAAUCAAUUCUUCAAUCAUUCACUUUCUUAGCUGUGAUUAAAAACAUGUGUCCCCUAAUUAAGCUAAUGAGAAACUGUUAAUUGGCACACAGCCUCCCCCCCCACCACACUUGUUAAUGUCACUGUCACUUUGACAGGAGAAAGGAUCAAAAUCAAGGGCAGAGAGUUUUUAAGUGACUUCAGUAUUGAACUCAAGGACCGGGGUGUUAUUUGUGAAAAGAGGGCUGUCAGUUCCAGGGCCUGGUGUGGAAAAAUAAGGAAUAUUUUCUCUGCUAAUUUCAUAAGAAAGCAGGAGGAAGAGAUGCGAUAGGGCAAAGGUUGAUUUAUUUUUCUCUUCCUCAAGAAAUAAUGGCAUCUGGCCAUCUCGUGUGCCUCCAAUAUAAUGACGCCUCGGCAUGGUAGGGCUCAGCAAAGUGGAAGUACACGGCUGCUGUGGAAACAGCAGGGAGGGUUUCCCAAGGGCCCCUCUCUCGGUAUCCUCUCGGUCUCCAGUAAGCGAUAUCCUCUUCCUACAACCAAG
Molecule: long non-coding RNA, 1606 nt
Organism: Fukomys damarensis (Damara mole-rat)
Lineage: Eukaryota; Metazoa; Chordata; Mammalia; Rodentia; Bathyergidae
Source: Ensembl